Molecule: ribosomal RNA, 508 nt
Filed under: uncultured Desulfobulbus sp.
Lineage: Bacteria; Pseudomonadati; Thermodesulfobacteriota; Desulfobulbia; Desulfobulbales; Desulfobulbaceae
Description: bacterial SSU rRNA
Rfam family: Bacterial small subunit ribosomal RNA
Source: RNAcentral
CGCCUUGCCAGCCCGCUCAGAACUUAAAGGAAUUGACGGGGCCGCACAAGCGGUGGAGUAUGUGGUUUAAUUCGAUGCAACGCGAAGAACCUUACCUGGUCUUGACAUCCCGGAGACCCUUAGGAAACUAGGGGGUGCUUCCAUCUGGAAGAAUCUGGAGACAGGUGCUGCAUGGCUGUCGUCAGCUCGUGUCGUGAGAUGUUGGGUUAAGUCCCGCAACGAGCGCAACCCUUGCCUUUAGUUGCCAGCAGUUCGGCUGGGCACUCUAAAGGGACUGCCGGUGUUAAACCGGAGGAAGGUGGGGAUGACGUCAAGUCCUCAUGGCCUUUAUGACCAGGGCUACACACGUACUACAAUGGCCGAUACAAAGGGCAGCGACACUGCGAGGUGAAGCCAAUCCCGUAAAAUCGGUCUCAGUCCGGAUUGGAGUCUGCAACUCGACUCCAUGAAGUUGGAAUCGCUAGUAAUCGUGGAUCAGCAUGCCACGGUGAAUACGUUCCCGGGCCUU